This 459-nucleotide ribosomal RNA is filed under the name uncultured bacterium. RNAcentral's name for it is "partial 16S ribosomal RNA". It matches the Rfam family "Bacterial small subunit ribosomal RNA", at positions 338 to 795 of the family's 1533-position model. The record is from RNAcentral.
CCUACGGUGAGCAGCAGUGAGGAAUAUUGGUCAAUGGGCGGAAGCCUGAACCAGCCAAGUAGCGUGCAGGAUGACGGCCCUACGGGUUGUAAACUGCUUUUAUACGGGAAUAACGCGCCUUACGUGUAGGGCUUUGCAUGUACCGUAUGAAUAAGGACCGGCUAAUUCCGUGCCAGCAGCCGCGGUAAUACGGAGGAUGCGAGCGUUAUCCGGAUUUAUUGGGUUUAAAGGGUGCGUAGGCGGACGCUUAAGUCAGCGGUAAAAUUGCGGGGCUCAACCUCGUCGAGCCGUUGAAACUGGGUGCCUUGAGUGGGCGAGAAGUACGCGGAAUGCGUGGUGUAGCGGUGAAAUGCAUAGAUAUCACGCAGAACUCCGAUUGCGAAGGCAGCGUACCGGCGCCCAACUGACGCUGAAGCACGAAGGCGUGGGUAUCGAACAGGAUUAGAUACCCUGGUAGUC